GACGAACGCUGGCGGCGUGCCUAAUACAUGCAAGUAGAACGAGUUGCGAACGGGUGAGUAACGCGUGGUAACCUGCCUCAUAACGGGGGAUAACUACUGGAACCGGUAGCUAAUACCGCCUCCCAUCAGAUGUGCCCAAAGGGGAUUAGACAGUUGGUGGGGGAACGGCGCACAAAGGCGACGAACCCUAGCUGGUCUGAGAGGAUGACCAGCCACACGGGAACUGAGACACGGUCCAGACUCCUACGGGAGGCAGCAGUGGGGAAUAUUGCACAAUGGGCGCAAGCCGGAUGCAGCCAUGCCGCGUGUAUGAAGAAGGCCUUCGGGUUGUAAAGUACUUUCAGCGGGGAGGCGUUACCCGCAGAAGAAGCACCGGCUAACUCCGUGCCAGCAGCCGCGGUAAUUC
RNAcentral lists this ribosomal RNA (406 nucleotides) under uncultured bacterium. RNAcentral describes it as "partial 16S ribosomal RNA". It matches the Rfam family "Bacterial small subunit ribosomal RNA", at positions 28 to 526 of the family's 1533-position model. The record is from RNAcentral.